CCUACGGGAGGCAGCAGUGGGGAAUAUUGGACAAUGGGCGAAAGCCUGAUCCAGCCAUGCCGCGUGAGUGAAGAAGGCCUUCGGGUUGUAAAGCUCUUUCGACGGGGACGAUGAUGACGGUACCCGUAUAAGAAGCCCCGGCAAACUUCGUGCCAGCAGCCGCGGUAAUACGAAGGGGGCUAGCGUUGUUCGGAAUUACUGGGCGUAAAGCGAACGUAGGCGGUGUUCCAUGUCAGAGGUGAAAGCCUGGGGCUCAACUCCAGAAUUGCCUUUGAAACGGGGACGCUUGAGUCCGAGAGAGGGUGGCGGAAUUCCUAGUGUAGAGGUGAAAUUCGUAGAUAUUAGGAAGAACACCAGUGGCGAAGGCGGCCACCUGGCUCGGUACUGACGCUCAGGUUCGAAAGCGUGGGGAGCAAACAGGAUUAGAUACCCUGGUAGUCCACGCCGUAAACGAUGAGUGCUAGUUGUUGGGAAGUUUACUUCUCAGUGGCGCAGCUAACGCGAUAAGCACUCCGCCUGGGGAGUACGGCCGCAAGGUUAAAACUCAAAGGAAUUGACGG
Molecule: ribosomal RNA, 560 nt
Filed under: uncultured bacterium
Lineage: Bacteria
Description: bacterial SSU rRNA
Rfam family: Bacterial small subunit ribosomal RNA
Source: RNAcentral